UACGUAGGGUGCAAGCGUUGUCCGGAAUUAUUGGGCGUAAAGAGCUCGUAGGCGGCUUGUCGCGUCGACCGUGAAAACUUGGGGCUCAACCCCAAGCCUGCGGUCGAUACGGGCAGGCUAAAGUUCGGUAGGGGAGACUGGAAUUCCUGGUGUAGCGGUGAAAUGCGCAGAUAUCAGGAGGAACACCGGUGGCGAAGGCGGGUCUCUGGGCCGAUACUGACGCUGAGGAGCGAAAGCGUGGGGAGCGAACAGG
This 253-nucleotide ribosomal RNA is filed under the name uncultured bacterium. RNAcentral describes it as "partial 16S ribosomal RNA". It matches the Rfam family "Bacterial small subunit ribosomal RNA", at positions 524 to 776 of the family's 1533-position model. The record is from RNAcentral.